AGUGAACGCUGGCGGUAGGCCUAACACAUGCAAGUCGAACGGCAGCACAGUAAGAGCUUGCUCUUACGGGUGGCGAGUGGCGGACGGGUGAGGAAUACAUCGGAAUCUACUUUUUCGUGGGGGAUAACGUAGGGAAACUUACGCUAAUACCGCAUACGACCUACGGGUGAAAGCAGGGGAUCUUCGGACCUUGCGCGAUUGAAUGAGCCGAUGUCGGAUUAGCUAGUUGGCGGGGUAAAGGCCCACCAAGGCGACGAUCCGUAGCUGGUCUGAGAGGAUGAUCAGCCACACUGGAACUGAGACACGGUCCAGAGUCCUACGGGAGGCAGCAGCGGGGAAUAUUGGACAAUGGGCGCAAGCCUGAUCCAGCCAUACCGCGUGGGUGAAGAAGGCCUUCGGGUUGUAAAGCCCUUUUGUUGGGAAAGAAAAGCAGCAGGUUAAUACCCCGCUGUUCUGACGGUACCCAAAGAAUAAGCACCGGCUAACUUCGUG
This 492-nucleotide ribosomal RNA is filed under the name uncultured bacterium. RNAcentral describes it as "partial 16S ribosomal RNA". It matches the Rfam family "Bacterial small subunit ribosomal RNA", at positions 29 to 507 of the family's 1533-position model. The record is from RNAcentral.